UCUGACCUGUUCUUGUUGACGGGUACAGCUGGCACCUCUAAUAGUUUUCUGUUCAUGACCUGCAUCUGUUUCCUCCUGAUAACACAGGCAUGAAGAAGACAGAAACCUCCAGGACAAUUUAGCCUAGCCUGGUAUUUGCAUAUCUUUCCAUACGUGACUGUUACAAAGGGCUUCUGAGUAGUUAUAAACUUCUGCUGCACUUUUAUCAUAGCUGCAAGUGCAAGAUGUCAAGAAGCACCAUGACGUUAUGGGUGUAUUUCAUCUGGCUCCUCUUCUCCAUGGUGGAAGAAUCCAGCGGGGACAUCGUUAUAACACAGACACCGGCUUCUGUGACGGUGCUUCCAGGAGAGACGGUCACCAUCCAGUGCAAGGCCUCCAGCUCCAUGAGUGAUGAUAUGGCCUUGUUGCUGUUCAAAUCUGGACAAACUCCCAAGCUCCUCAUUCAUGAUGGAAACUACCGUUUCACUGGGGUCCCCGACCGGUUCAGUGGCAGCUACAGCGGCACCAACUUCACCUUCACCAUCGGCGGGGUGCAGGUGGAAGAUGCUGGUGACUACUACUGUGGGCAGGACUACACCACCCCUCUCACAGUGAUACACUGCAGUACAAAAACCUCCUUGAUGCCACAGCUUCCGGUGUGUGAAGCAGAAGGAAGCAGGGGAGGCUGCUUCUGACACAGCUGAUCUGGAACAUAAUGAAUGUUUUAGUGAAACCCAUUUCUCACACCCUCAUCACUCAAUUCACUGAUUUCAAACAUUGUUUUGACAAAAUUCCUUUCCGGUGGGAGAAUUGCCAGGGACAGACACUCUCUCAGGGCAGUGCCCGAGAUACACGUGUACAUAGUCAUUGCCACAGCCCCACAAUGUUCAGCGCAGCAAUACAUUUUU
This is a non-coding RNA of Alligator mississippiensis (American alligator), 887 nucleotides long. The record is from the annotation of a RefSeq genome assembly. NCBI's taxonomy places the organism in Eukaryota, Metazoa, Chordata, Crocodylia, Alligatoridae.